UUUUUGCUAUAUUAAAUUGAUUACAAAAUGUAGAUUUUUUAAACAUUGCUAUUUUGAUUCAAUAGUUUCGUUGAAUUAUUAGGAAACUUCAAUGAAGUCUUGUUUAUAUGCUCUUUCAUCGUAAGAUUCCAAUGAUCCAAAACGACAUUUAAUGACAUUUAAUAUUUCAAUAGGCAAAAUAUUAAUUAAAUAUUAAAAGUGACAUGCGUAAGAAAAUAAUUGAAACCUCAAUGAAACUCUUUGAUUUUGUACUCUUCGCCUGUCUGUGACCUGGAAGUUCUUUUCAGCGUAAAGCUACCUUUGAGGCCUUCCAACUAUUGAUUGCCUGUUUUAAGUGGCUUUUUUUAGUCCAUAGCUGGGUAAUUAGUGGAAUGGAAACAUUAUGUUACACUGCUGACAUUUUGCAAAAACUAAGGAUUUUAAUCACAUCUUCUGGCAGAAUAUAUAUAGAGGUAAAAUAAUGAUCCAUGUAAAUUGAAGUGUCUACUGAUAAGGUGUUGGAUAGAAAGCCGAUUCCGCUGAAGACCCUUUACCUUCAAACAAAUAUAAAUCAAAUUAAUACGUCAGGAUUCUCUGCAACAAAAUUUUUUAUCCCUUUCGGCUUUGUAUUACUUUUCACAAGUUGUUUUGACACAUCUUCCUGUGUGAGCAGUCGCCAACCAACAAGCUAAAACGAUUCCAAUCACCUUAAAUAAAAAAAAUCAUUAAUCAUAAGA
This is a non-coding RNA of Onthophagus taurus, 716 nucleotides long. NCBI's taxonomy places the organism in Eukaryota, Metazoa, Arthropoda, Insecta, Coleoptera, Scarabaeidae. The record is from RefSeq and is a predicted model, not a curated record.